Molecule: ribosomal RNA, 371 nt
Filed under: uncultured organism
Description: bacterial SSU rRNA
Rfam family: Bacterial small subunit ribosomal RNA
Source: RNAcentral
CGUAGGGUGCGAGCGUUAAUCGGAAUUACUGGGCGUAAAGCGUGCGCAGGCGGUUUGUAAGACAGGCGUGAAAUCCCCGGGCUCAACCUGGGAACUGCGUUUGUGACUGCAAGGCUAGAGUAUGGCAGAGGGGGGUGGAAUUCCACGUGUAGCAGUGAAAUGCGUAGAGAUGUGGAGGAACACCGAUGGCGAAGGCAGCCCCCUGGGCCAAUACUGACGCUCAUGCACGAAAGCGUGGGUAGCAAACAGGAUUAGAUACCCUGGUAGUCCACGCCCUAAACGAUGUCAACUAGGUGUUGGGUGGGUAAAACCAUUUAGUACCGGAGCUAACGCGUGAAGUUGACCGCCUGGGGAGUACGGCCGCAAGGUUA